Molecule: ribosomal RNA, 497 nt
Filed under: uncultured bacterium
Lineage: Bacteria
Description: partial 16S ribosomal RNA
Rfam family: Bacterial small subunit ribosomal RNA
Source: RNAcentral
GAUGAACGCUGGCGGCGUGCCUAAUACAUGCAAGUCGAGCGAACAGAUGAGGAGCUUGCUCCUCUGACGUUAGCGGCGGACGGGUGAGUAACACGUGGAUAACCUACCUAUAAGACUGGGAUAACUUCGGGAAACCGGAGCUAAUACCGGAUAAUAUAUUGAACCGCAUGGUUCAAUAGUGAAAGACGGUUUUGCUGUCACUUAUAGAUGGAUCCGCGCCGCAUUAGCUAGUUGGUAAGGUAACGGCUUACCAAGGCAACGAUGCGUAGCCGACCUGAGAGGGUGAUCGGCCACACUGGAACGGAGACACGGUCCAGACUCCUACGGGAGGCAGCAGUAGGGAAUCUUCCGCAAUGGGCGAAAGCCUGACGGAGCAACGCCGCGUGAGUGAUGAAGGUCUUCGGAUCGUAAAACUCUGUUAUUAGGGAAGAACAAAUGUGUAAGUAACUAUGCACGACUUGACGGUACCUAAUCAGAAAGCCACGGCUAACUACGUG